GGAGGGGUACCCAAGCGGCCAAAGGGGGCGGACUGUAAAUCCGCUGGCAUUCGCCUUCGUGGGUUCGAAUCCUACCCCCUCCA
Molecule: transfer RNA, 83 nt
Filed under: Limimonas halophila
Lineage: Bacteria; Pseudomonadati; Pseudomonadota; Alphaproteobacteria; Rhodospirillales; Rhodovibrionaceae
Description: Rhodospirillaceae bacterium Ia16 tRNA
Rfam family: tRNA
About the family: Transfer RNA (tRNA) molecules are approximately 80 nucleotides in length. Their secondary structure includes four short double-helical elements and three loops (D, anti-codon, and T loops).
Source: Rfam by way of RNAcentral